This 438-nucleotide ribosomal RNA is filed under the name uncultured bacterium. RNAcentral's name for it is "partial 16S ribosomal RNA". It matches the Rfam family "Bacterial small subunit ribosomal RNA", at positions 339 to 795 of the family's 1533-position model. The record is from RNAcentral.
CUACGGGCGGCAGCAGUGAGGAAUAUUGCACAAUGGGGGAACCCUGAUGCAGCAACGCCGCGUGGAGGAUGACGCAUUUCGGUGUGUAAACUCCUUUUAUAUGUCAAGAAAAUGACGGUAGCAUAUGAAUAAGCACCGGCUAACUCCGUGCCAGCAGCCGCGGUAAUACGGAGGGUGCAAGCGUUACUCGGAAUCACUGGGCGUAAAGGACGCGUAGGCGGGUUGGAAAGUCAGGUGUGAAAUCCUUCAGCUUAACUGUAGAACUGCACUUGAAACUUCUAAUCUAGAGUAUGGGAGGGGGAGAUGGAAUUAGUGGUGUAGGGGUAAAAUCCGUAGAUAUCACUAGGAAUACCUAAAGCGAAGGCGAUCUCCUGGAACAUUACUGACGCUAAGGCGUGAAAGCGUGGGGAGCAAACAGGAUUAGAUACCCCGGUAGUC